Haliotis rubra (blacklip abalone) is the source of this 872-nucleotide long non-coding RNA. RefSeq lists it as uncharacterized. The record is from RefSeq and is a predicted model, not a curated record. The transcript is spliced from 2 exons. NCBI's taxonomy places the organism in Eukaryota, Metazoa, Mollusca, Gastropoda, Lepetellida, Haliotidae.
UACCUAAUUUAAUUUUUUUUUCUAAGUUCGAAUUCUCCAGUACUAUACUUAUUUGUAAUAAUGAAUAAUAAUAUUCAGUAUUUAAGGGUAUUUUUAGAAAGUAUGGCUUUCUUCUCACAUAAUGUUACACCUUAACAUGUGUCCUCCAUAUUGUCCAUACCUAUUACCACGUGAUCAUGUUCAGAGAAUUCACUGACUAUGUCGCUACAUUUUGCCAUGUCCGGAACUAUCCUCGUUACUCAGGGGUCACAUUCAUCGUUGUCCAACAUUUACCCUUGGUGACAACGACUCUAAAAUACCUUAAUAUUAUCAUAUCAUCACUCUUCGUUUCAAAGGACGGAGUUCUGGACCCCCGCCGUGAUAUUGCUGGAAUAUUGCUUUAAGCGUCGUAAAACCAUACUCACUCAAACUAAAGAGAUUAUGAAACUCUUAAUACGCAUGCUUCGAACCAAGUUAACACUAUGUCGCCAGUAUCCCCGGUGGUGCAUGACAUAUUUCGAACCCCAUAUUUGUAGUGGGGAAUUGGCGCUAAUGAGGAGUUAUACGGUUUCUGAUAAACUUCUUCAUAGUAAUUGAAUGGGUCAAUCAUUGCAAUUAGUCAAAAAGUGCCCAUGGUGUACUAUAUCCUAUAUUAGCCAUGGUAGAGAUUAGAAUAUCUUCGUCAUAAUUUUCACUUAUAACUUAAAAAUGCAAUAUAGUUGACCAGAGUUGAUGUUUCUGCUUGUUGACUGAAGCCCCCGAGUUCCAUCAUAAGCUCUGUAGUAUAUAUUUAUCUAUGCUGAGUGAACUCGUAAAGAAAUGUUUGGUCCGAGGCAUUAAUACUGACGACCCCUCUCCCACACUGUUUUGUAUUAAACAAUUCUUUUCCUAUA